ACAUUCGCUCUGAAGUAACAGAGCUGCCCCCCGGCUAACAAACUGGUGCUAACCGAGUGAGAAAAUUCGCUGAGUAUUUAAGGAAAGCAGAAGCCAUCGGCAGACUCUUUCUGCAAACGACAGCCAGGAUCAGUCAAAGAUCAUGGUGGGUGAAACAACUCCAAGCUUGAUCAGGAAGCUUCUGUUCACUAUUUGCAGUUUACGUCUCCAUGGUCAGGAAAAUGGUUUCGUUUUAGAAACUUGGAAGAUUCCUCGGAGUAAACCGAGCAAAAACCGAUCUGCCCCGGAGAGGGCUCUGAUCAAAAUAAUUAUGUCUGACGCAGAAGAAUUCUCUACUUGUUCCCGCAUUUAACCAUUUAAAUUCCCUGCUCAACAAGCACACGGGAGACAUUUCCAUUAACAAUUGUGAACGUUCCGCUUAAACCACCCUCCUCAGUGACAGACUCAAGAGCGGGAGACCAUUUUCCGUUCACACCGCGAGUUAACUCGACCUCCACGGAGCCCUCCGGUGCCAGGACUUUUGCGCAAACCGCAGGGACUUUGUUUAGCCCCCAACCUCUGCCUCAUUCUGUGCACUGACUGAACAGAGUGUGUGAAAGAUGUAGAAAUACUUAGAUAAUGAGACUGAAGCUAUGGGGAUCUUCACAUUAUUUUUGGAAGGCAAACU
Dermochelys coriacea (leatherback sea turtle) is the source of this 667-nucleotide long non-coding RNA. RefSeq lists it as uncharacterized. NCBI's taxonomy places the organism in Eukaryota, Metazoa, Chordata, Testudines, Dermochelyidae. The record is from RefSeq and is a predicted model, not a curated record. The transcript is spliced from 2 exons.